This 443-nucleotide ribosomal RNA is filed under the name uncultured bacterium. RNAcentral's name for it is "partial 16S ribosomal RNA". It matches the Rfam family "Bacterial small subunit ribosomal RNA", at positions 338 to 795 of the family's 1533-position model. The record is from RNAcentral.
CCUACGGGGCGCAGCAGUGGGGAAUAUUGGGCAAUGAGCGCAAGCCUGACCCAGCAACGCCGCGUGAAGGAAGAAGGCUUUCGGGUUGUAAACUUCUUUUCUCAGGGACGAAGAAAGUGACGGUACCUGAGGGAUAAGCCACGGCUAACUACGUGCCAGCAGCCGCGGUAAUACGUAGGUGGCAAGCGUUAUCCGGAUUUAUUGGGUGUAAAGGGCGUGUAGGCGGGAGCGCAAGUCAGAUGUGAAAACUCAGGGCUCAACCCUGAGCCUGCAUUUGAAACUGUGUUUCUUGAGUGCUGGAGAGGCAAUCGGAAUUCCGGGUGUAGCGGUGAAAUGCGUAGAUAUACGGAGGAACACCAGUGGCGAAGGCGGAUUGCUGGACAGUAACUGACGCUGAGGCGCGAAAGCGUGGGGAGCAAACAGGAUUAGAUACCCUUGUAGUC